This 464-nucleotide ribosomal RNA is filed under the name uncultured bacterium. Its description in RNAcentral is "bacterial SSU rRNA". It matches the Rfam family "Bacterial small subunit ribosomal RNA", at positions 331 to 793 of the family's 1533-position model. The record is from RNAcentral.
CCAGACUCCUACGGGAGGCAGCAGUGAGGAAUAUUGGUCAAUGGGCGGGAGCCUGAACCAGCCAAGCCGCGUGAAGGAAGAAGGCGCCAGGCGUCGUAAACUUCUUUUGUCGGGGAACAAAGGGCGCCACGCGUGGCGUUGUGAGUGUACCCGAAGAAAAAGCAUCGGCUAACUCCGUGCCAGCAGCCGCGGUAAUACGGAGGAUGCGAGCGUUAUCCGGAUUUAUUGGGUUUAAAGGGUGCGUAGGCGGGCUUUUAAGUCAGCGGUAAAAAUUCGGGGCUCAACCCCGUCCGGCCGUUGAAACUGGGGGCCUUGAGUGGGCGAGAAGAAGGCGGAAUGCGUGGUGUAGCGGUGAAAUGCAUAGAUAUCGCGCAGAACUCCGAUUGCGAAGGCAGCAUGCCGGCUCCACACUGACGCUGAGGCACGAAAGCGUGGGUAUCGAACAGGAUUAGAUACCCCUGUAC